RNAcentral lists this ribosomal RNA (460 nucleotides) under uncultured bacterium. RNAcentral describes it as "partial 16S ribosomal RNA". It matches the Rfam family "Bacterial small subunit ribosomal RNA", at positions 338 to 795 of the family's 1533-position model. The record is from RNAcentral.
CCUACGGGUGGCAGCAGUGAGGAAUAUUGGUCAAUGGGCGAGAGUCUGAACCAGCCAAGUAGCGUGAAGGAUGACUGCCCUAUGGGUUGUAAACUUCUUUUGUCUGGGAAUAAAAUGCUCCACGUGUGCCUUUUUGUAUGUACCCUAUGAAUAAGGAUCGGCUAACUCCGUGCCAGCAGCCGCGGUAAUACGGAGGAUCCGAGCGUUCUCCGGAUUUAUUGGGUUUAAAGGGAACGUAGGUGGGUUGUUAAGUCAGUUGUGAAAGUUUGUGGCGCAACCGUAAAAUUGCAGUUGAUACUGGCAGACUUGAGUACAGUAGAGGUAGGCGGAAUUCGUGGUGUAGCGGUGAAAUGCUUAGAUAUCACGAAGAACUCCGAUUGCGAAGGCAGCUCACUGGACUGCAACUGACACUGAGGCUCGAAAGUGUGGGUAUCAAACAGGAUUAGAUACCCUUGUAGUC